AUUGAACGCUGGCGGCAGGCCUAACACAUGCAAGUCGAGCGAGCGGAGGACGGGUGAGUAAUGUAUGGGGACUGCCCGAUAGAGGGGGAUAACUACAGGAAACGGUAGCUAAUACCGCAUACUAUCGGAUAACCCAUAUGGGAUUAGCUAGUAGGUGAGGUAAUGGCUCACCUAGGCGACGAGCCCUAGCUGGUCUGAGAGGAUGAUCAGCCACCCUGGAACUGAUACACGGCCCAGACUCCUACGGAGGCCGCAGUGGGAAAUAUUGCACAAUGGGCGCAAGCCUGAUGCAGCAAUGCCGCGUGUAUGAAGAAGGCACUAGGGUUGUAAAGUACUUUCAGUCGGGAGGCGUUGCCGACAGAAGAAGCACCGGCUAACUCCGUGCCAGCAGCCGCGGUAAUAC
Molecule: ribosomal RNA, 403 nt
Filed under: uncultured bacterium
Lineage: Bacteria
Description: partial 16S ribosomal RNA
Rfam family: Bacterial small subunit ribosomal RNA
Source: RNAcentral